AAAAAGGUAAGGAAAAAGAGGAGUAUGUUCAUAACCCUGACAGAGAAAACCAUUCACCGGCUGAAAGAUGGUUAAGGAAGUGUGUGCAGAAGGUAGCUUUGGAACCGGAGUGCUGAAAUGCAGUAGUUGUGUUCAGUAGGUGCUCACGCGUGGUUUGCGUUAAAGACCGUGAGAGCUGCGGCACAGUCUGCCGCAGGAAUAAAGGUGGUACCGCGGAUGAUUCGCCCUUUGC
Molecule: non-coding RNA, 232 nt
Filed under: Hungatella hathewayi
Lineage: Bacteria; Bacillati; Bacillota; Clostridia; Lachnospirales; Lachnospiraceae
Description: Clostridium hathewayi T-box sequence
Rfam family: T-box leader
About the family: Uncharged tRNA acts as the effector for transcription antitermination of genes in the T-box leader family. T-boxes are found upstream of many aminoacyl-tRNA synthetase genes and some amino acid biosynthetic genes usually in Gram-positive bacteria.
Source: RNAcentral